This 402-nucleotide ribosomal RNA is filed under the name uncultured Sphingomonadales bacterium. RNAcentral describes it as "bacterial SSU rRNA". It matches the Rfam family "Bacterial small subunit ribosomal RNA", at positions 353 to 772 of the family's 1533-position model. The record is from RNAcentral. Lineage: Bacteria; Pseudomonadati; Pseudomonadota; Alphaproteobacteria; Sphingomonadales.
AGUGGGGAAUAUUGGACAAUGGGCGAAAGCCUGAUCCAGCAAUGCCGCGUGAGUGAUGAAGGCCUUAGGGUUGUAAAGCUCUUUUACCCGGGAUGAUAAUGACAGUACCGGGAGAAUAAGCUCCGGCUAACUCCGUGCCAGCAGCCGCGGUAAUACGGAGGGAGCUAGCGUUGUUCGGAAUUACUGGGCGUAAAGCGCACGUAGGCGGCUAUUCAAGUCAGAGGUGAAAGCCCGGGGCUCAACCCCGGAACUGCCUUUGAAACUAGGUAGCUAGAAUCUUGGAGAGGUCAGUGGAAUUCCGAGUGUAGAGGUGAAAUUCGUAGAUAUUCGGAAGAACACCAGUGGCGAAGGCGACUGACUGGACAAGUAUUGACGCUGAGGUGCGAAAGCGUGGGGAGCAAA